GAAGUUUCAAACAAAAUAUGCAUUGCCAUAUUUGCAUUUGAGAAGAAUCAAGCUGGGGUCACUACCUGUGGCCAGUAGAUUAGAUGGUGUCAGGCAAAGUUGACCAACCAGGUGAUCCAAAGACCCCAGCUGUGCCCAUAACUUCUUUAUGAUCUCAUGCAAGGUCAUAAACUCCACCCAAGUUCUUUGAGCCUCAGUUUUGUCUUCUGUAAAAUGUAAGAAGCAAUAACUACCUCUUAGGGAUGUAUAGAGAGAAUUCCCGCAGGAGAGAGAUGGCAUAUUUCAAAUUGAGACUAUUCGAUCCAGGGGCUGGUCAUCAAGAUGGAGCAGGGUAUAGAGAAGCCAUUAGGGAUGAUACAGAACACCACCAAAGGGUUAGUAACGGUGGGGAACUGUUUGCACCCCGAAGCCUGAAAGAGUGAAGUAGGGUGGGAUUACCUGGAAAGAGAGAGAGAGACAGAAGGAGAAUGAGAUUGAGGGAAGGGCUGCCUGGCAGGGGAAGCUGACGCCUUCAGGCAAGUGAAGAAGCCAGCCCGCAGCAACUCUGCAGGGAAGAAUAUAGGGAAAUAAACGCCUUCAUCUCUCUCUUGUCCCACCCGCAGAGCUCCUUCUGGGAUUCUCUAUUGGCUGAACUCAGCCAGAAGCUGCCAAGGGAGACCCCCACAACUGGAUGCAGCCCACUGAAGUCAGCUUCCUGGGGUGCGUAGCUGAAGGUAGCAGGGAGCAAAAAGAAUCUGAAGGGGAAGUGAACAAUGUAGAGCGUAUCUGUGCUGAAGACGUAAGGAGAGAGUGGAGGUCAGAAGCUGGCAUGGUCCCUGGUGCAUGUAUCAGCCGCUAAAGAAGUGGAGAGUAUGAACAUAAGCAAGAGGAAGUGAUGAGUAUCCCUUCCAGGAGAACUCUAAGAGGCAGUGAGUGAUUUGCUGGGCUCCCAAGCCCUCUGCUCUGAUGACAGCAAAGCCCCAAAUCAUGGUGCCUCCAUCAGUCGGGACCCCUCAGCAGAGCCAGCUUCACAGCUGGAGUGGAUGAAUCAGAACUUUCCCCAUGGGAGCAUUUAUAAAAAGGGGACACCCAGCGCAGAAGAUGUUUUCCAGGGAGAUCUCGGGGAGCCCAACAAGCCAAGAAGAGCAGAGCAAAGCAUUCCAAGGAAGGACUCUAAGUCUGCAACCGAGCACACACGAGGAUGGGAAUAGGGACAUCUGCUGCAUUUGGCUGUUGGAGAAACACAAGGAAAUCAUGGACAAGUGCCAGGUGUGGUGACACUCGUCUGUAGUCCUAGCAGCUCAGGAGGCUGAGACGGGAGGAUCCCUUGAGUGCAGGAGUUUGAGGCUGCAGUGAGCUAUAAUGGUACUACUAUACUCCAGCCUGCACAAUGCAACAAAACCACAUCUGUAAUCAUCAUCAUCAUGAUCAGAGCAAACCCUACUCAGUGGCUCACCCCAGCGUGUGAUCCUAUGUGUUAAUUCCCUCCUAUACAUGAGGGCUGCACAAGCUCAGAUGGGCUUAUUCUACUGAAAAUUCAGAUAAACAUGGAGAAAAGGUGGGAGGGCAGGUGGGCUGGAGAGGUGCAGUAGGGCAGUCCGGAAGAAGAGGAGCAGCACGUGGUGGAAAAAACUGAGAUGGGCCCUAAGUCUCAGCAGGGCCAGGUCACUGGCUUGUGACCCCUGCAGUCUCUCAGAACCCUGAAGGCCUGGAGCUCUGUUUAAUGCUCUGUCACCUAUGGUCAUGAAAUUCUUAUUAUGGGAUAAGAUCCCUUGUCCAAACAAGGGUCUCUGCAUUGUCAUUUUGCACUGGGUCCUGCAAGUUAUUUGCUAAUCCUGAGUCUCAGCCUAUGUAGCCCUUCUAUGACUGCAUUUCGGCUUCUGCAUCUGCAAAACAGCUACAUUAGAUGGGGACCGAGGGAGGCUAAGGGUGAUGCCUGCCCACCUCUGAGAGCCUUCCUGAGCUAUUGGUAAGCACUUCCCUAUGCCCAGCGAGGUGCUUGACACUAAAUAAAUGUUAAACACCCCAGUGAGUUUUAGACUCAAUGACGCCCAAAUGCCUAGCUGUGGAAUAGUGAGGAGUUAAAUCAAAGGAAUUUGGAGCCAGGCAGACGUGGGUUCAAAUCCUAACCCUUCCACUCACUGGUCAUGGGACCUUGGGCAAAUUCCCGUACUUUUCUGCAACAGGCUGACUUCAUCGCUAAAAUGAGGAUGAUAAUAGUCUCUCCUGCCUAGGUUGUUGGAUAAGCGGGGGAGUUACGUGAAAUUAUGUGUGUUAAGUACCAUGCCGGGCAUUUAAACAGUAACUGCUAACAUUCGUUUAUUUACCAUCUGAACACCUACUUUGUGCCAGGCACUGUGCAAGUCUUUGAGGAUACAGUGGUAAACAAGACAGUCGCAGCCCUGACGUGGAGGUGGAAUGUAAACAAAAAAGCAGGCAAGGGUGGCAGGUGCCUUCAGAUGGUGGCACACACACUCUAAGCAUCUUAGUAGAACAAGGGCAAAGAGUGGGGCUAGGCUGCGGGGCGUGUGACAGUCCCUUCCCAUUCAGAAAUUAAACUCUCUGUGAGCUACAGCCAAAGAUUUCAAUCCCACUCUCCAAUGCAUCUCUGUUGUAGAAGAGAAUUAUUUUCCAGAAAUUCCCAGAAGAUUCCCCCACCUCUAUGUCUGGAGAUGGUGCUAGGUUUCUCCCAUCUCCAGGAAGGCAAAUGACCUCUCCCCCAGAACCCCAAACAAAUUCCCCUCACCAGGAGCCCUCAGACCCCACCCUGGAGCUUGUGAGCGCUAAGAACGAGCAGAAAGGGAAAUGAACAAAUUAUCUUGAUAAUUUGUUUAAGAAGGGGAAAAAAAGUCACCCAAGAAAAAUGAUAUCCAAU
Molecule: long non-coding RNA, 2854 nt
Filed under: Homo sapiens (human)
Lineage: Eukaryota; Metazoa; Chordata; Mammalia; Primates; Hominidae
Description: HSALNT0276520
Source: RNAcentral